CUGGUUGAUCCUGCCAGUAGGCAUAUGCUUGUCUCAAAGAUUAAGCCAUGCAUGUCUAAGUACGAACUAAUUCAGACUGUGAAACUGCGGAUGGCUCAUUAAAUCAGUUAUAGUUUUUUUGAUGGUACCAUAUUACUCGGAUAUACGUAGUAAUUCUAGAGCUAAUACGUGCACCAAGUCCCGAAUUUUUGGAAGGGAUGCAUUUUUUAGGUAAAAGGCCAGCACGGGCUUGCCCGCUUCUCCGGUGAAUCAUGAUAACUCGACAGAUCGCACAGCCCUUGUGUUGGCGAUGCUUCAUUCAAAUUUCUUCCCUAUCAACUUUCGAUGGUAGGAUAGAGGCCUACCAUGGUGGUGACGGGUGACGGAGAAUUAGGGUUCGAUUUCGGAGAGGGAGCCUGAGAAACGGCUACCACAUCCAAGGAAGGCAGCAGGCACGCAAAUUACCCAAUCCUGACAUGGGGAUGUAGUGACAAUAAAUAACAAUACUGGGCUCAUCGAGUCUAGUAAUUGGAAUGAGUACAAUCUAAAUCCCUUAACUAGGAUCCAUUGGGGGGCAAGUCUGGU
RNAcentral lists this ribosomal RNA (564 nucleotides) under uncultured eukaryote. Its description in RNAcentral is "SSU rRNA". It matches the Rfam family "Eukaryotic small subunit ribosomal RNA", at positions 4 to 565 of the family's 1831-position model. The record is from RNAcentral.